Molecule: ribosomal RNA, 254 nt
Filed under: uncultured bacterium
Lineage: Bacteria
Description: partial 16S ribosomal RNA
Rfam family: Bacterial small subunit ribosomal RNA
Source: RNAcentral
CACGUAGGGGGCGAGCGUUGUCCGGAUUUAUUGGGCGUAAAGAGCUCGUAGGCGGUCUGUCGCGUCGGUCGUGAAAACUUGGGGCUUAACUCUGAGCUUGCGGUCGAUACGGGCAUGACUGGAGUUCGGCAGGGGAGACUGGAAUUCCUGGUGUAGCGGUGAAAUGCGCAGAUAUCAGGAGGAACACCGGUGGCGAAGGCGGGUCUCUGGGCCGAUACUGACGCUGAGGAGCGAAAGCGUGGGGAGCGAACAGG